UCCUCGUUAAUGUAGUGGUGAGUAUCCCCGCCUGUCACGCGGGAGACCGAGGUUCGAUUCCCCGACGAGGAG
This 72-nucleotide transfer RNA is filed under the name Bos taurus (domestic cattle). RNAcentral's name for it is "tRNA-Asp (GTC) (tRNA-Asp-GTC-7-1)". It matches the Rfam family "tRNA". From Rfam's summary of the family: Transfer RNA (tRNA) molecules are approximately 80 nucleotides in length. Their secondary structure includes four short double-helical elements and three loops (D, anti-codon, and T loops). RNAcentral also lists the same sequence under 4 other names. The record is from Rfam by way of RNAcentral. Lineage: Eukaryota; Metazoa; Chordata; Mammalia; Artiodactyla; Bovidae.